CCUACGGGCGGCAGAAGUGGGGAAUAUUGGACAAUGGGCGAAAGCCUGAUCCAGCCAUGCCGCGUGUGUGAAGAAGGCCUUCGGGUUGUAAAGCACUUUCAGUGGGGAAGAAAGCCUUGGGGCUAAUACCCUCGAGGAAGGACAUCACCCACAGAAGAAGCACCGGCUAACUCCGUGCCAGCAGCCGCGGUAAUACGGAGGGUGCGAGCGUUAAUCGGAAUUACUGGGCGUAAAGCGCGCGUAGGCGGUCUGAUAAGCCGGUUGUGAAAGCCCCGGGCUCAACCUGGGAACGGCAUCCGGAAACUGUCAGGCUAGAGUGCUGAAGAGGGGGGGAGAAUGCCCGGUGUAGAGGGGAAAUGCGUAGAGAUUCGGAGGAAUACCAGUGGAGAAGGCGGCUUACGGGACUAAUACUGACGCUGAGGUGCGAAAGCGUGGGUAGCAAACAGGAUUAGAUACCCCGGUAGUC
RNAcentral lists this ribosomal RNA (466 nucleotides) under Vreelandella stevensii. RNAcentral describes it as "partial 16S ribosomal RNA". It matches the Rfam family "Bacterial small subunit ribosomal RNA", at positions 338 to 795 of the family's 1533-position model. The record is from RNAcentral. Lineage: Bacteria; Pseudomonadati; Pseudomonadota; Gammaproteobacteria; Oceanospirillales; Halomonadaceae.